UCCUCGCCCACACCUUCACAUCCUUCAUGCAUUUAGGGAAACCCUCCCUGUUAGUUUUACAUGUGCCUGAUGAUGGGGUCCCAUUCAUGAACAAAUCUUGGACUAACUUAGGGGAUGAAAAAAAAUUAUCAAAAUAUACAUGAUACCCUUGCCCCAAAUAUGGAUUCACCAACUUCAUCACCACAUCAUAACCAAGGCCAUUCUGCGACGGUGCUUCAUGCUGUGACUUACCUAUGUAAACAUUGAAAUCAAUUGUAUACCCAUUUGAACUACCUGCCAAUACCCAAAGCUUUAUCCCCCAUUUUGUAGGCUUAUUCUUCAUGUAUUGCCUAAUGCCCGACCUAUGUUUAGACUUAACCAUGCGUUCAUCUACAGCAAUAUUCUGGUACGGUUGGUAUAACAUACGGCAUCGCUCUUUGAAUGAUGCCAGAAACUCCUCAACCUUGCGCAGUUUAUUGCUAGCAAUCUCUUCGGCGGGAUCUACCACAUGCAGGAAUGCCAUAAGGGCUUUAUAACGUUUACGGGAAAGUAUUUUCCUUGCCCAGAGACCGUGGUAAAGGGUCUUUGUGCUCCAAUACUUUUCAAGUGCUGUGUCUACACGUACCAGACCAAAAUAAAUCAAAAUAGCAAUUAAAUGAUUUAUUUCAUCUUCAGUGGUUGUUUUCCAGGCCCCCUCCCCAGUGGUGUAUGUGGUGAACCCCCCAGCUACAAGUCUCAUGAAUGCGUAGCUGUUGGUGUGGGCAACAACUGAUUUUAUCAUCUCAGUGGUGAAGAAGAGACGAAAAAAUUCUAAUUCAGUUGUCAUUCCUCCCCGCAAGACAUGCCUAUCAAAAUGAAUUCCUGGCGGACGGCUUGGUUGAAAGGGAGGGAGGGUAUUCCUAAUGUCCGCAUCAUCAUAAGAUUUACUACUACUGUUGUCGGCCCUGGUAUCCCUAGCCCUUCCACCCCUGGCCCUACCACCCCUGGCCCUACCGCCCCUGGCCCUACCACCCCUGGCCCUACUGCCCCUUCCCCUAUUGCCAGAAGUACCAUUAGGGGAGUCUGCCCGUCUCCUAAUUGGGGAUCGGCCCCUUCCACCACUACCCUCCCCUAAAUCACCAUCCUCCGCCCAAUCCGGAUCCUCGUCAUCUACUUCAAAAUCAUCAUCAUCUUCAUCAACAGGUUCUUCAUCACUAUAAAAAAAUAAAACACUAUAAACAUACUGAUACAUGGUAUUAUCUUACUUCAUAUAAACAAAAAUGCAUAAAUUAAUUUUUUAAAUGCCCACUUAUGCCAUGUGUGCAACACGACACUCACACAUUUUGAUAUCGGUUCAAACCUUUGAUUUUUGUGGCAAUAUAAAUAACAGAACUCUCAAAUAAAUGCCUUAUUAUAUCGAUUGUUUGUAUAUUUGUUAUAUUUCGUAUCAGAUCUUAGAUUACAGACCAAAUUCUUAUGGCAAAUGUGCGUCAAAGUUCACGUUGUGUCGAAUGUAAAUUUAAUCCUUCGACCAUGACAUGAAAACAUCUGUUCGCUAAAAACAUGUAAAUACUUGCCUUGAGUCGCUAUCUGACAUCGUCAAACGUCUGUCCAAGUAUUCUUCUUCAU
RNAcentral lists this long non-coding RNA (1587 nucleotides) under Paramuricea clavata. The record is from RNAcentral. Lineage: Eukaryota; Metazoa; Cnidaria; Anthozoa; Malacalcyonacea; Plexauridae.